Molecule: ribosomal RNA, 423 nt
Filed under: Bacillus cereus
Lineage: Bacteria; Bacillati; Bacillota; Bacilli; Caryophanales; Bacillaceae
Description: bacterial SSU rRNA
Rfam family: Bacterial small subunit ribosomal RNA
Source: RNAcentral
CGGCUUCGGCUGUCACUUAUGGAUGGACCCGCGUCGCAUUAGCUAGUUGGUGAGGUAACGGCUCACCAAGGCAACGAUGCGUAGCCGACCUGAGAGGGUGAUCGGCCACACUGGGACUGAGACACGGCCCAGACUCCUACGGGAGGCAGCAGUAGGGAAUCUUCCGCAAUGGACGAAAGUCUGACGGAGCAACGCCGCGUGAGUGAUGAAGGCUUUCGGGUCGUAAAACUCUGUUGUUAGGGAAGAACAAGUGCUAGUUGAAUAAGCUGGCACCUUGACGGUACCUAACCAGAAAGCCACGGCUAACUACGUGCCAGCAGCCGCGGUAAUACGUAGGUGGCAAGCGUUAUCCGGAAUUAUUGGGCGUAAAGCGCGCGCAGGUGGUUUCUUAAGUCUGAUGUGAAAGCCCACGGCUCAACCGUG